Molecule: transfer RNA, 72 nt
Filed under: archaeon
Lineage: Archaea
Description: tRNA-His
Rfam family: tRNA
About the family: Transfer RNA (tRNA) molecules are approximately 80 nucleotides in length. Their secondary structure includes four short double-helical elements and three loops (D, anti-codon, and T loops).
Source: RNAcentral
GCUGGGAUAGUAUAGCGGUUAGUAUAGCGGGUUGUGGUCCCGCUGACCCGGGUUCAAAUCCCGGUCCCGGCC